CGGACUCGGCCAGCGCCAGGGUGCAGCGGGCAGCCGCCCCGGGCGAGAGCGGGGUUUGCAGACGGGAAGGUGAGCGCGGGAGAAGCUAGAGGAACCAGCGCCGAAGCCCGGGAGACGGACACGACAAAGGUCAAAGCUAGUGAGUUCCACAAGAUGAAAUACUGCUGAAACUGCUUGAUACUGCUGUCUGCCCUCUUGUGGAGGAAGCUAUCUCAGGGAGAUGGGUUCGAUCUCUAGUCCAGGAAGAUUCUACAUGCUGUGGAGCAACUAACCCCGUGAGCCACAACUACUGAGCCCAUGUGUUGCAACUACUGAAGCCCACGCACCUAGAGCCUGUGCUCUGCAACAAGGGAAGCCACUGCAAUGAGAAGCCGGUGCACUGCAUGGAAGAGAAGCCCCCGCUCGCCACAACUAGAGAAAGCCUGUGCACAGUAACGAAGACCCAAUGCAGCCCAAUAACCCUGACUUUACUAUCUUGUGAGAAAUAACCUCAGAUUUUCAAGGAAUAUGUCAGCAAUUACUUAGAACAUUUGAAUGUCAGAACUGUGAUCAUAGAGAAUAAUGGAAAUCUGACAUGAUCAGAUCAUCAUUUUCUUGUACAGAGAACACUGUAUUCUGAACCUGAGAAAGGGAGCCUCACCUCCUCCAUGUCUACCCAUUCCCUCUCCUGAAAUGACCAAGAUUAAAAAUAAGUCAUUCAAUAACUAUUCCUGGAUACUUGGUACUCAUGCUUCCAGUCAAGGCCCACAGAGGAAAAAUAGAAGGCAUUUUGCCUCACCAAAGAAAUCGUGGGGGCACUGGGAUACUUGGAAGGCCUUUAAAAAGAUGGUUCAAAGCUUAUAAUGACCCAGAAAGCAUAGCUAAUUAAUGAACCAAGGAAACUGCAAAAAGGAAACAGUGUGAUAAAGACUAUAAUCUUGUACGGCUCACCAUUUACAAUUAAUUAAAGCCUGGAAUCUGUGAAGUUUCAUGUUAACUGGUCACCUAUUAAAAUUCCAAGGAAGCUGAAUUAUGUAGAACAUUCUCUGGGGAAUGCAACAACUCAUUGCCUCAUCUUUCCACUUAAUACUGCUUAAGUAAACAGAGCUAUUAAAUCCUUAUUUGACUGUAUUCCAAUUAGUUUUGGAAUUAGAAACUAGAAAGAAGAUAAGAUAAUUCACUUGACAACAAUGUUAGUGACAUGAAGUUCUAUCUCCAUUUUGUUUUUUAUUUAAAAUGAAAAAAAAAAAGAAAAUUAUCAAAUCUUGAACAGAAAUGAAGAAAUUUGUUUUCUUUCCUGCAAGAUUUUUAAACAGAAUUUUAGAAAGUGAUUUCAAUAUGUUAAAAGAAAGACUAUUUCCCCCUCUGGAACUGUAAUUCUCCAAGCCUGAUGACCUUCAAGAUGGACAUAUUUUGUCUCUGUUAGUUAAAAAUCAUCUGUCUUUAAAUACAUUUGAGUUUCUCAAGUAAAAUGUGUUGGGGAAAAAGUGAAAAAUAAAGAUUCAGAUUUUGAUUCAAUGUGCAGUAAACAUACAAAGUAAAUUUUGACUUUUUUAGUCUAUGUCACCUUGCAAAU
Hippopotamus amphibius kiboko is the source of this 1555-nucleotide long non-coding RNA. RefSeq lists it as uncharacterized. The record is from RefSeq and is a predicted model, not a curated record. The transcript is spliced from 8 exons. NCBI's taxonomy places the organism in Eukaryota, Metazoa, Chordata, Mammalia, Artiodactyla, Hippopotamidae.